CCUACGGGUGGCAGCAGUGAGGAAUAUUGGUCAAUGGACGAGAGUCUGAACCAGCCAAGUAGCGUGAAUGAUGACUGCCCUAUGGGUUGUAAACUUCUUUUAUAUGGGAGUAAAAUGUUCCACGUGUGGGUUUUUGUAUGUACCAUAUCAAUAAGGAUAGGCUAACCCCGCGCCAUCAGCCGCGGUAAUACGGAGGUUCCGAGCGUUAUCCGGAUUUAUUGGGUUUAAAGGGAGCGUAGGUGGAUUGUUAAGUCAGAUGUGAAAGUUUGCGGCUCAACCGAAAAAGUGCAGUUGAAACUGGCAGUCUUGAGUACAGAAGAGGUGGGCGGAAUUCGUGGUGUAGCGGUGAAAUGCUUAGAUAUCAGGAAGAACUCCGGUGGCGAAGGCAGCUCACUGGACUGCAACUGACACUGAGGCUCGAAAGUGUGGGUAUCAAACAGGAUUAGAUACCCCAGUAGUC
RNAcentral lists this ribosomal RNA (460 nucleotides) under uncultured bacterium. RNAcentral describes it as "partial 16S ribosomal RNA". It matches the Rfam family "Bacterial small subunit ribosomal RNA", at positions 338 to 795 of the family's 1533-position model. The record is from RNAcentral.